This 232-nucleotide unclassified non-coding RNA is filed under the name Hevea brasiliensis (rubber tree). Lineage: Eukaryota; Viridiplantae; Streptophyta; Magnoliopsida; Malpighiales; Euphorbiaceae. The record is from RNAcentral.
AAAAUUUUUUGGCUUCAAUAUUUAAUAUAUUUUCAUAAUUGGUGGUAGCAUUUAUUUUAAAUAUUAAAUUUGAUAAAAUUUAUUAUUUCCUAAUUUGAAGGAAAAUUUUUAUGGACAAAUUAAUGAAAUUAAUCAUUUGUUUAAAAAAAUGAAAUUAAUCAUUAAAAUUAAGAUUUUUAAUAAUUAAAUAAAUAAAUAAAUCAUUAAAUCUGUAUAUCUAAUUAAAAAAAAU